CACGUAGGGCGCGAGCGUUGUCCGGAAUUAUUGGGCGUAAAGAGCUCGUAGGCGGCCUGUUGCGUCCGCUGUGAAAGCCCGGGGCUUAACCCCGGGUCGGCAGUGGAUACGGGCAGGCUAGAGGUAGGUAGGGGAGAAUGGAAUUCCCGGUGUAGCGGUGAAAUGCGCAGAUAUCGGGAGGAACACCGGUGGCGAAGGCGGUUCUCUGGGCCUUACCUGACGCUGAGGAGCGAAAGCGUGGGGGGCGAACAGG
RNAcentral lists this ribosomal RNA (253 nucleotides) under uncultured bacterium. RNAcentral's name for it is "partial 16S ribosomal RNA". It matches the Rfam family "Bacterial small subunit ribosomal RNA", at positions 524 to 776 of the family's 1533-position model. The record is from RNAcentral.